ACGCCUGGGCUCUCUGGGUACC
This 22-nucleotide microRNA is filed under the name Caenorhabditis remanei. Its description in RNAcentral is "crm-lin-4-3p". Its record names the gene crm-lin-4-3p. The record is from miRBase by way of RNAcentral. Lineage: Eukaryota; Metazoa; Nematoda; Chromadorea; Rhabditida; Rhabditidae.